AUUCCUACGGGAGGCAGCAGUGGGGAAUCUUGGACAAUGGGCGCAAGCCUGAUCCAGCCAUGCCGCGUGAGUGAUAAAGGCCUUAGGGUCGUAAAGCUCUUUCGCCAGGGAUGAUAAUGACAGUACCUGGUAAAGAAACCCCGGCUAACUCCGUGCCAGCAGCCACGGUAAUACGGAGGGGGUUAGCGUUGUUCGGAAUUACUGGGCGUAAAGCGCGCGUAGGCGGAUUGGAAAGUUGGGGGUGAAAUCCCGGGGCUCAACCCCGGAACUGCCUCCAAAACUCCUAGUCUUGAGUUCGAGAGAGGUGAGUGGAACUCCGAGUGUAGAGGUGAAAUUCGUAGAUAUUCGGAAGAACACCAGUGGCGAAGGCGGCUCACUGGCUCGAUACUGACGCUGAGGUGCGAAAGUGUGGGGAGCAAACAGGAUUAGAUACCCUGGUAGUCCACACCGUAAACGAUGAAUGCCAGUCGUCGGGUAGCAUGCUAUUCGGUGACACACCUAACGGAUUAAGCAUUCCGCCUGGGGAGUACGGUCGCAAGAUUAAAACUCAAAGGAAUUGACGGAAU
This 566-nucleotide ribosomal RNA is filed under the name uncultured bacterium. RNAcentral describes it as "bacterial SSU rRNA". It matches the Rfam family "Bacterial small subunit ribosomal RNA", at positions 335 to 919 of the family's 1533-position model. The record is from RNAcentral.